UGCGUAGGCGGCGGGGAAAGUCAGAUGUGAAAUCCGGAGGCUCAACCUCCGAAUUGCAUCCGAUACUACCUCGCUAGAGAUUUGUAGAGGAGCUUGGAAUUCUCGGUGUAGCAGUGAAAUGCGUAGAUAUCGAGAAGAACGCUCGCAGCGAAGGCGAAGCUCUGGGCAAAUUCUGACGCUGAUGCACGAAGGCUAGGGGAGCAAAC
RNAcentral lists this ribosomal RNA (206 nucleotides) under uncultured bacterium. RNAcentral describes it as "partial 16S ribosomal RNA". It matches the Rfam family "Bacterial small subunit ribosomal RNA", at positions 568 to 773 of the family's 1533-position model. The record is from RNAcentral.